Molecule: long non-coding RNA, 650 nt
Organism: Apis florea (little honeybee)
Lineage: Eukaryota; Metazoa; Arthropoda; Insecta; Hymenoptera; Apidae
Source: RefSeq, a predicted model, not a curated record
UAUCGAUAUCAAGGAAUAAAUAAAUGAAUUAUGACGAAAGGAAAUUAAAUGGAUGAUCUUUAAAUAUGAAUAAAUAUUAAAAUAAUAUACAUGUAUUUCCCUUUAUUCGGCACUUUGAGCUUUAUAUUUUUUUUUUUUUUACAAUAACGUUUCGACCUUUGUAAUUGAUAAGUCACAAACAAAUACAAUCAUUGGAAACAUAUUUCGAUAUUUAAAUGAUUAUAAGGAUAUAAUCGUUUAGAAAUUAAUCGAUUUGAUGAAUUGAUGAUUGAAGUUAAACAAAGUUAAUAUACUUAUAUAUACUGUCAUUUGUCGUUAUUAAGUCGUUGAAAUAUUAUUAUUCAUCGACUGAUUAUAGUUAUAAUUAUAGUUUUUCCAACAAUUGUAUUUCAAUUUGUGUGAUUAUGGUAAACAUUGGAUAAGUGCCUGAAAAUCGAGAUCCAAAUUAAAUAUUAACGAAAUAUCAAUCUAUAUCGAUCAAGAUUAUAAAUUCCUUUUGUAGAAAGUAAGCGAAAAAAAAUAAAGACUGAAAAUAAUUGAACGUCAUAGUGCAUUAAAGAAAUAUUUACGCCCAAUAAUUAGAUUUGACAAUUUAUUCAAUGUUUACUAUAUUGAAGUACAAAUACAAGUAAGACAAUAGUUACGAGCAA